CCCUUAGACGUUCUGGGCCGCACGCGCGCUACACUGACGAAGGCAACGAGCUUUCCUUUACCGAAAGGUACGGGUAAUCUUUUGAAACUUCGUCGUGCUGGGGAUAGAUCCUUGCAAUUUUUGAUCUUAAACGAGGAAUGCCUAGUAGGCGCAAGUCAUCAACUUGCGUUGAUUACGUCCCUGCCCUUUGUACACACCGCCCGUCGCUACUACCGAUUGAAUGGUUUAGUGAGGCCUUCGGAUCCGCGACUCGUUUGUGGAGAAGUUGGACAAACUCAGUCAUUUAGAGGAAGUAAAAGUCGUAACA
This 307-nucleotide ribosomal RNA is filed under the name uncultured eukaryote. RNAcentral describes it as "partial 18S ribosomal RNA". It matches the Rfam family "Eukaryotic small subunit ribosomal RNA", at positions 1470 to 1796 of the family's 1831-position model. The record is from RNAcentral.